This 491-nucleotide ribosomal RNA is filed under the name uncultured soil bacterium. RNAcentral describes it as "bacterial SSU rRNA". It matches the Rfam family "Bacterial small subunit ribosomal RNA", at positions 26 to 513 of the family's 1533-position model. The record is from RNAcentral.
AGAUUGAACGCUGGCGGCAGGCCUAACACAUGCAAGUCGAGCGGCAGCACGGGUACUUGUACCUGGUGGCGAGCGGCGGACGGGUGAGUAAUGCCUAGGAAUCUGCCUGGUAGUGGGGGAUAACGCUCGGAAACGGACGCUAAUACCGCAUACGUCCUACGGGAGAAAGCAGGGGACCUUCGGGCCUUGCGCUAUCAGAUGAGCCUAGGUCGGAUUAGCUAGUUGGUGGGGUAAUGGCUCACCAAGGCGACGAUCCGUAACUGGCCUGAGAGGAUGAUCAGUCACACUGGAACUGAGACACGGUCCAGACUCCUACGGGAGGCAGCAGUGGGGAAUACUGGACAAUGGGCGAAAAGCCUGAUCCAGCCAUGCCGCGUGUGUGAAGAAGGUCUUCGGAUUGUAAAGCACUUUAAGUUGGAGAAGGCAGUUACCUAAUACGUAUCUGUUUGACGUUACCGACAGAAUAAGCACCGGCUAACUCUGUGCCAGCA